This is a long non-coding RNA of Clupea harengus (Atlantic herring), 520 nucleotides long. The record is from Ensembl. NCBI's taxonomy places the organism in Eukaryota, Metazoa, Chordata, Actinopteri, Clupeiformes, Clupeidae.
GUGUGUGGAGGUGGUGUAGUGGUGUGUGGAGGUGGUGUGGAGGUGGUGUAGUGGGGUGUGGAGGUGUGUAGUGGUGUGUGGAGGUGGUGUGGAGGUGGUGUAGUGGUGUGUGGAGGCGUGUAGUGGUGUGUGGAGGUGGUGUAGUGGGGUGUAGUGGUGUGUGGAGGUGUGUAGUGGGGUGUAGUGGUGUGUGGAGGUGUGUAGUGGGGUGUAGUGGUGUGUGGAGGUGUGUAGUGGUGUGUGGUGGUGUGUGGAGGUGUGUAGUGGUGUGUGGAGGUGGUGUAGUGGUGUGUGGAGGUGUGUAGUGGGGUGUGGAGGUGGUGUAGUGGGGUGUGGAGGCGUGUGGAGGUGGUGUAGUGGUGUGUGGAGGUGGUGUAGUGGGGUGUGGAGGUGUGUAGUGGUGUGUGGAGGUGGUGUAGUGGUGUGUGGAGGUGUGUAGUGGUGUGUGGAGGUGGUGUAGUGGUGUGUGGAGGCGUGUGGAGGUGGUGUAGUGGUGUGUGGAGGCGUGUGGAGGUGGUGU